UAACGGCCGCGGUAUCCUAACCGUGCAAAGGUAGCGUAAUCACUUGUCCCCUAAAUAGAGACUAGUAUGAACGGCUAAAUGAGGGCCUAACUGUCUCCUGCGGCCAAUCAAUGAACCUGAUCUCCCAGUACAAAAGCUGGGAUCAACACAUAAGACGAGAAGACCCUGUGGAGCUUUAAACAACACCACUACCAACCCAUAAAAACCAAUCCAACACACGGAUGCAACACCACACACAACAUUAGUGAUAAUUUUAAGUUGGGGCGACUACGGAGCAAAAUAAAACCUCCACGAACCAGGGCCAACCCCACCCUAGAUCAACACAUCAAAGACACAAAACACUACGACCCAGUACCACUGAUCACCGAACCAAGUUACCCCAGGGAUAACAGCGCUAUCCUCUCCAAGAGUUCAUAUCGACAAGAGGGUUUACGACCUCGAUGUUGGAUCAGGGCCCCCAGGUGGUGCAGCCGCUACCAAAGGUUCGUUCGUUCAACGAUUAAUGCCCUAC
RNAcentral lists this ribosomal RNA (511 nucleotides) under Paragehyra felicitae. Its description in RNAcentral is "partial 16S ribosomal RNA". It matches the Rfam family "Bacterial large subunit ribosomal RNA", at positions 1925 to 2599 of the family's 2925-position model. The record is from RNAcentral. Lineage: Eukaryota; Metazoa; Chordata; Lepidosauria; Squamata; Gekkonidae.